CAUCUCUCUCGGCAAACUAUCUCUCAAAGCUCUCUGCCAAAAUUUUCCUUUCCCCACAAAGUUUUUUUUGCUGAAUCUCUCCGCAAUCAAACUACCUUUGCUUCCCUAUUGAAGGUAAGAACUAUAUAUUAGUUGGCAUGGUUCACAAGCCCAAUUAAUUAUAAUAGAUGCAGAGCUAAUCAAAGAAUUACUAACCAACAGAGAAGGCGCUUACCAGAAAAUGGAUAUGGAAGGCAUUGCAAAGAAAUUAUCAAAUUAAUAGGUGAGCCGCUUAUAACAAAUGAGGGGAAAAAAUGGGCAAAAGUACACAAACUGGCUAACCACUCAUUCCUUGCAGAGAGCCUAAAGAGCAAGGUACCAGAAAUGAUUGCUAGUGUCGAGG
Molecule: non-coding RNA, 382 nt
Organism: Coffea arabica (coffee)
Lineage: Eukaryota; Viridiplantae; Streptophyta; Magnoliopsida; Gentianales; Rubiaceae
Source: RefSeq, a predicted model, not a curated record